Molecule: long non-coding RNA, 2297 nt
Filed under: Vigna radiata
Lineage: Eukaryota; Viridiplantae; Streptophyta; Magnoliopsida; Fabales; Fabaceae
Description: long non-coding RNA (VRAD_LNC017545)
Source: RNAcentral
AACAUCAUUAGAGGUUAGUACAUCAUCAAAUCAUAUAAUUUUCUGAGGAAAAACAGGGCUCCUCAUCACUCAAGCAUCCAAAAAUUUCAAUUUUUAGGCAAACAGCUGCAGACUGCCCAAUGUAAAAGGAAACCGCUCAGGAGGUUUGCCUCACAUCGCGCCACCGCCCAACACUAAAAAAUACCGCUCAGCGGUGGCGGCUAGGGUUUUUCAAAAUCCUUGCCUAUUUGAUCCUAAUCUCCACUCUUUUGCUAAAAUCAUCAAUCCAGACCAAAAUCAAGCAAUUCAAUCAGUUCAAACAGUUCUUAUUCUAUCGAUUCAUGCAUAUAAAUUAAAAGCCCUAAUUUAUCAUGUUCCUAAGCAUGUUCUUUAACAAAUCCCAAAAUAGAAACCUUAAUCAAUGAAUUUGCAAACUUACUUGAGUGGAGAUGAUGAAUGCUUGCAGAAAAAUUGCUUAAUUGAUGAUGUAAGUCCUCCCCAAUGCAAGUCCCUGAACCAAAAACCCCAAACUUUGGCAAAGUAAUGGUGGAAAAUUGAAUUUUUGGUUAGUGGGUGAAUGAGAAAGUGAGGAAAUCUCUCUAGAAUGCUCUUGAAAGUGAAAGAAGGGUGUUAGGGCUUAGGGAGACCGCUCAGGCGAAAUGCAAAGAAGAGUUUGGAAGUGAAAAAUGUGAAAAACCGCUCAGCUUUUAAGCAAAGCCAAACCCCUAAGCGCCGCAACCGCUCAGCGGUAAAAUGCACUGCUCAACGGUUUGCGCCUGAUUUCUCUUCUUCCUCUUUUGCUUUCUUUUGAGUAAUCUUCCCUUCUACCACUUAAUUUCAACCUUCAAUUUUCAAAUAUAUACCUUUCCCCUCUCAGAUGCAAUCAUUAACAUAUAAUACACUUAACACAGGAUUAAAACAAAACAAUCAACUGGAUUGCCUUCCAGGUAGCGCUUUUUUAACGUCACGAGCCUGACCCAAACCUUUUUAGCACUCAUCAGUAAGUGCUUCUCCUUCCAACACCCUUCAGUAGGUUUACUUACCUUGUAUCCUUCAGCAGAUACAUAAAAUAUUUAGCAUCUCUCAGUAGAUGCUUCCCAAAAAGUGUUCAAAAAUUCAAUAAAAUAAAUGUACAAAAUCAAAUACCCUAAAACUACAAAUGUUUAUACAAAGUGGGAUUUAGAUAAAAUCAAUUCAUUCCAUCCCGGUUGGGAUCUUCAUCAACCCAACUCAUCAGUUGCUUUCUAUCCACUCUCUUUAUGGUUCUUGUGAAUGGUUUCCUAAUGUCCAACUUGCCAUCUUCUCGAUUCUUAAUCACAAGCCACUUCUUAUCCUUGAAUCUUACUUAUGUUCCAAUUGGAAGUGGUGUAUAUUCAGUGUGGAUAGUGCCUCCUUUGUCGACCUCCUCUUCUUCAGGUACCUGCAAAACAUUACAACUAUUAGAAUUGGUACCUAUUGUGUUGUUCUUUAGUGCAGCUUCUCUUCUUGACUUCUUAUGCCUGGCCCUCUUUUUUAUUCUAGUACUUUUCUCUUUAAAACCAGUAUAAAAGAGUAUAUUCUCUUUGUCUCUCAUCAUGAUCUUUGCAUCAUGGAUACUAAUAGACAUCUUGGAUGUGGCCAUGAAAGGUCUUCCAAGAAUUACUGGAAUUCUUUCUGCAUUUUCCCUGCUCAUGAUGAUAAAAUCAGCUAAGAAUUCUAACUGCUCCACCUAAACAACUACAUUUUCCACCAUACACAAUGGUGUUUUAACUGAACCAUCCGCCAUUGUCAUUGUGAGAUUAGAUGACUUUAAUGUUAAGCCUCAAAUUUUAUUAAACAAACACACGGGCAUCAUGUUAAUUCUAGAUCCAGAAUCUAUCAUUGCUUCUCCUAUAUCAACCUCCUUAAUCUUACAUGCCAAAUUCAAGCAACCUGGAUCUUUUACUUUAAGCGAAUAAUUCCUUGGAGGUUGAAUCUCAAAUUCCUGCUCAUCAUCAUCUUCAUCUAAAUCUAUCAUAUCUCCAAGAUAAAAUUUCAUUCUUGCAGGAAUCUGUUUAAUAAUUGAAGGCAUAAUACUCAUUUGAUUAUAAAUUUCUCUGUUCUGCUCAUUAUGACUAUCUCUUGCUUCCUUUUCUUCUUCUCCUUCACUACUACUGCUACUCUCAAUGGCUUCACCUUCCUCCUUUUUAUCACUGCUUCCAAUCGCUACAACUUCCUUGUCAACUCUUCCUCCAUCACUUGUCACCACAACUUUACAUUCUUCUUUAGGGUUAACAUCAGUAUUAGCCCUAAACUGGUUCUUUUCAAUGGUUUCUACUCUUUUUGACAAUUGUCCAAUU